This 753-nucleotide non-coding RNA is filed under the name Pongo abelii (Sumatran orangutan). The record is from RNAcentral. Lineage: Eukaryota; Metazoa; Chordata; Mammalia; Primates; Hominidae.
UUAAAGACAGCUUUCAGCAUCCCUGAUGGCAGCAAAUAUGUCUAUGACAGUAACAUGGGGUGAAGCAGCUGAGUGGAAGAAGAUAUAGAGUGGUGUAGAGGAAAGUAUUGGAGAACAAGAAGAGUGAUGCAGAAAAUGAAACGCAGGGACACAAAGAAAAAGCACACAGCUCUAGACAUAUUUAUGAAGACUUAAGCUGGGACUUCCUCUGCACGCCAGCUCCCUCCCCUGUCCCCAAGCUCUACAGACAUGAUGGCCCCUCCCACCUCCCGGGUUUCCCACAGCCCAGUAGUGCCCUGAGUCUCUUCCUAUGUCCAAUCCUAUGGUUUUGUUUCCUUUGCUUUUUGUUUCCUGCCCACUUCGUAGUUAUAGGUAUUUGCUGAAGCUCAGACCUUGGCUCAUUUCCUUUUCCAUUCUUACUGAACUGAGAAGUUGGAAUGCUUCAAUCAACAGCACUGUGCUGACAACCUCUCUCAUCCUGGAUCGCAGCCCCUAAGACAUGUCUUCCUGGAUAUUCCAUGGUUCUUUCACAUAUCUAACACAUACUGCAUCUUCAUUGCUGCAUCCCAAUUUUCCCAGACCCACAAUGUGAAAAUUUUUAUUAUUUGGUCCUGAAACCUUUUGCAUUAUCCUACCUAUCAAAUCUGCCACAGUCCUUGUUGACUUUUAAAAAGUUUUACUAGGGUACCAUGUCCAGUAUCUUGACCCCAGGCUGGUAACCAUCGCUUUCCCGUUACUCUGCACCAGCUUCUU